UACGUAGGGUGCAAGCGUUGUCCGGAAUUAUUGGGCGUAAAGAGCUCGUAGGCGGUCUGUUGCGUCGGCUGUGAAAACCCGGGGCUCAACUCCGGGCCUGCAGCCGAUACGGGCAGACUAGAGUUCGGCAGGGGGAGACUGGAAUUCCUGGUGUAGCGGUGAAAUGCGCAGAUAUCAGGAGGAACACCGGUGGCGAAGGCGGCAUCCUGGACCAACACUGACGCUGAGUGAGCGAAAGCCAGGGGAGCAAACGGG
RNAcentral lists this ribosomal RNA (255 nucleotides) under uncultured bacterium. RNAcentral's name for it is "partial 16S ribosomal RNA". It matches the Rfam family "Bacterial small subunit ribosomal RNA", at positions 524 to 776 of the family's 1533-position model. The record is from RNAcentral.